RNAcentral lists this ribosomal RNA (522 nucleotides) under uncultured bacterium. RNAcentral describes it as "partial 16S ribosomal RNA". It matches the Rfam family "Bacterial small subunit ribosomal RNA", at positions 28 to 523 of the family's 1533-position model. The record is from RNAcentral.
GACGAACGCUGGCGGCGUGCCUAAUACAUGCAAGUCGAACGCUUUUUCUUUCACCGGAGCUUGCUCCACCGAAAGAAAAGAGUGGCGAACGGGUGAGUAACACGUGGGUAACCUGCCCAUCAGAAGGGGAUAACACUUGGAAACAGGUGCUAAUACCGUAUAACACUAUUUUCCGCAUGGAAGAAAGUUGAAAGGCGCUUUUGCGUCACUGAUGGAUGGACCCGCGGUGCAUUAGCUAGUUGGUGAGGUAACGGCUCACCAAGGCAACGAUGCAUAGCCGACCUGAGAGGGUGAUCGGCCACACUGGGACUGAGACACGGCCCAGACUCCUACGGGAGGCAGCAGUAGGGAAUCUUCGGCAAUGGACGAAAGUCUGACCGAGCAACGCCGCGUGAGUGAAGAAGGUUUUCGGAUCGUAAAACUCUGUUGUUAGAGAAGAACAAGGAUGAGAGUAGAACGUUCAUCCCUUGACGGUAUCUAACCAGAAAGCCACGGCUAACUACGUGCCAGCAGCCGCCGCGG